UACGGAGGGUGCAAGCGUUGUUCGGAUUUAUUGGGCGUAACGGGCGUGUAGGCGGUUCGUUAAGUCUGAUGUGAAAGCCCCGGGCUCAACCCGGGAAGUGCAUUGGAAACUGGCGAACUUGAGUACGGGAGAGGGCAGUGGAAUUCCUAGUGUAGGAGUGAAAUCCGUAGAUAUUAGGAGGAACACCGGUGGCGAAGGCGGCUGCCUGGACCGAUACUGACGCUGAGACGCGAAAGCGUGGGGAGCAAACAGG
Molecule: ribosomal RNA, 253 nt
Filed under: uncultured bacterium
Lineage: Bacteria
Description: partial 16S ribosomal RNA
Rfam family: Bacterial small subunit ribosomal RNA
Source: RNAcentral